Molecule: non-coding RNA, 252 nt
Filed under: Gracilibacillus halophilus
Lineage: Bacteria; Bacillati; Bacillota; Bacilli; Caryophanales; Bacillaceae
Description: T-box sequence
Rfam family: T-box leader
About the family: Uncharged tRNA acts as the effector for transcription antitermination of genes in the T-box leader family.
Source: RNAcentral
CGGAUGGCGUUGACGAAGAGAAGUAGCUUAUUUGCAGCACAAAAAGAGAGCUGGUGGUUGGUGUGAACCAGUGUGCGUGAUAAGUGAAUGGACUUCCGAGCUCCAAACCGAACGCAGUUUUGUUAGUAGGAUUUGGCGAGAGGCCCACUCGUUGCAAAGGGGUAGCGUUACAUGUUUUACAUCUGACGUGUGAUAAGUGAGCUGAUUCAAUCAGCUAACAAAGGUGGUACCACGGGUUUUCUCGUCCUUUUU